GAAACUGCCACGGCCUCAGGAGAGAAUGUACUGUAAAGAAGGGUGUUUCUUUAUCAUUUUUUCUUUUCAGCUGAUUACCGUUUUAAACAGGCACAGAUAUUACAUGUGCUUUUUGAGCUGCCUGAAGCACAGACCGCGCAGUGAGCUACUGCUCUUUUCUACACCCAUGCCCAAAAGAAACCAGGUUUCUGAAGCAAAUCCGUGCUGUACCAGUACACUGCACCAGCUUGCUCUGAAGGAAUGGGAGAUUCAGUCUUAAUGAGGAAAUAAGCUAAAAACAUGUACUACCUGUGUGCUCAGAAUUGCUAACACCUGGGGCUGAUGCAGUGAUACCCCAGCCUCCGCUCACCUGUGGCUCCUUAAGCCCAAGGCCUGCAUUACAUUUGUUUUCCCACUUUAACUUCAAUUCACUUCAGCCCUGGUGAACCCUAGCACCUUGUCCUGGCACAGAAACCCCUUCUGGCUGUGAUCCCCAAGCUCUGCUGAGGAAACAUUGCUCGGGCACAUUCCCCUCACUUGGGCUUUCUCAAAGCGUUUCCAUUUUGCCCAAAUAUCAGCGAGAGUCCCCACACCUCUGUGUCCCCUUGUCAGCAGCUGGUGAGCCCAGCUGGGCCCAGCCCCAGGUGCUGCUCGUUGCCUGAGCAAUCCGGCACCUCCCAGCCACCGCGGGGGCUCAAGGUGGGCUGUCUGUCCCUCUGUCCGUCCCCUCCCUGGUUUGUGUGAAGCUGUGGGAGACCCUCUGUAAGGGAAGUCUGGGCGAGCAUGAGGAAGGCAGCUUGUAAGGGCAGCGGGGAGCUUUAUCGUGGUCUGGUGUGCUGCUUCACGGGGCUGCGUGUGGGCCUGGCCGGCGCUGCCUGUGCUGGUCCUGCAAAGCCACGUGCUCUGCCCCGGGAGUUGGUGCUGGAUGAGCAAAAUGUCCUCAGAGCUGAGGUUCAGCAGCGUCCCCACGGUCUGCUGGGUCUUGGCUUUGAGAGAGCAGCGCCGGCGUUGGGGAGUGAGAGCUGCGUUAGUGCAAUGAAACGUGCCACGAAUGUUCCCCGCCGUUCCCAGAGGGAUUGUGAAACCAUUUGGAAAAUAAAGCGGCCUCCUUCCGCGUCGGAGGGGGCAGGUUUGUUGCUUGUUCCCAGCACGGCAUUGCUUCAUGGGCUUUAUUGCUGCCUCAUGCGGCUGUGCCGCGUGCCGGGACCCGGCUGUGGGGUGGGCUCAGUGCCUGCCGGUGGGGCCCUGGCAUCACAUGGAGCUUACCAAGGCUUCGGACCCACAAAACCAUCCCAAAAUAACAACAUGUGGGGCAAUACAAGGCAUCAACCCGUGCCCUUCUGAAAUGCGGACUUAACCACAGCCCCGCACGCCGUGCCACCACUCACCAUGCUUCACCAGCACUGUUCCACCACCAUCAGGGAGCUGGAAGUAGGUGGAGUUGUUGGAGAGACAGCGGCCGCCCCUGCGGAGAGGGGGAAUCGAGGCAGAGCCGUGGUGCUGAGCCCCCCCUGCCCAUAUCCUUCUGGAGAGGCCGGGCACUGAGGGCUGAUGUUAACACACAUGGGGGGUUAGGAGGAAGGGGUUGGGGACCGGGAGGGGUGCGGGCAUCUCACGCGGCCACGUGCUGGGUGACGAGCAGCUCCUGCCCCCCGGCGCCGGGCUCCACGCGCAGGUGGCCGUGGUCGAUGAGCAGCAGCUCCAGGAGGUGCUGGGGCAGCUGGGCGGCCCCGGCCACGUACCGCCACGUCCCCAGCAGCUGCGGGAGAGGCGUGGGGCUGUGGGGGCUCCCUGCCUGCCCCCCCACCCUCCAUUCAGCACCCGGCCUCCUCCUUACCCCCGGUGCCGUCGCGUUGGCCGGGCUCUGUGUGGGCUCGCAGGGAGCGGCCGCAGCGGGCGGCAGUGCUGUGAGGAUGAGGAUGGCAGCGAUGCCAGCCGCUGCCAUGGCUGCCUGAUGGAGCAGACCAGCAGGAUGACGGACAGAUGGAGGGACGGACAGACGGACGGACGCUGCUCGCUCGGGUGUUUGCUUUCGCAAGGCGGCUGCGCGCAGCAGGGGCUGCGGUGGCGCAACGGCGGCUUUCGGGGAAAUCGCCCCAGUGAGGGCCGGGUGCCCAGCCCCAGCUCAGGGCUCUGACUGGCUGGGCAGCAUGGGGAGGGCGAUGCACUUCCCAUAUUUAAAAGUGAAAUCUGCCCAAAAUUUCCCCGUUUCACUCCCCCCUAUGCAGCUGCUGUAGUGGCUCCACAAGUGAGGAACUGCGCUGCUCACCGGGCCAUGGGUGCUGUCACUGCCUCGUGCCAUGGCGCGGGGCUUUGGGAGCCCUCUGGGUGUGAGCUGUGCUCACAGCGGGGCUGGGAUGGCCCCCGGGGGCUGCCCGGCCUCCAGCCCCAGGCCGGGGACUUUCCCCAUGCCUCAUGUCCAGCUGGCAGCUCACGGCACUGCUGCCCUGGUGCUGUUGCUCGCAGGAAAACUUCCUUGGGGUCUGCCCUGAACCCUCCGUGUAACCUUAUUUGUCCUGCUCAGUGCCCCCCGUGUGCUGCCACGUCUGUGUCUUGCUCCAUGCCCUCACCCCUGGCAGGGCACAGCUUGGGGGCUGGCUCGGUUUCUGUUUGUG
Non-coding RNA from Anas platyrhynchos (mallard), 2594 nucleotides. The record is from RefSeq and is a predicted model, not a curated record. Lineage: Eukaryota; Metazoa; Chordata; Aves; Anseriformes; Anatidae.